This 797-nucleotide unclassified non-coding RNA is filed under the name Hevea brasiliensis (rubber tree). The record is from RNAcentral. Lineage: Eukaryota; Viridiplantae; Streptophyta; Magnoliopsida; Malpighiales; Euphorbiaceae.
AGGCGUUGACGACCCACACCGUUUACACCUCUGACAAUAUCAUGGAACGGCAUCUAACGGUGAUUAAACCUAGCCGGAGCGACGAAGUUUUAGACGAAGAUGAGCAGCUGCGAAUCGCCAACCAGGUCAAAGCCUUGUUCGAUGCUCAAGCACCUAAAAGACUCGCCAAACCAAAUCGAAGCGAACCUGAUUCAGUCAUCCCCAAUUCCCCUUUAGAAGAUUUCCCUAUUCCAGAACUUGACAAUCUCCGAUCUCUUCAAUCACAGGGUGGUAGCUUUUUUCCGGAAACUAAUUGCUCGGAGCAAGACGAGUCCGUGGAAACUCAGUAUUACAAUGAGUUGGUUUCCAUUGACAAACAGCAUCACACGACUGGAAGUGGGUUCAUAAAGGUGGUCAAUCAAACGAAUGGAAACAUUUACGAUCUUCAGUUGAAUGGUGGUUAUGAGAAUGGUAGAGCCAAAGAGUUCAAAACUAAUCCGGCGACAAACGACUGGAUUCCGAGUAAUGAUGAUUAUCAGGUUGGAUUCACCUCCUCAAAACCCAGCCGGAGCGAAGGUGAUUAGAUCGAAAGUGAAGAAAGCAAUCAGAUGGUGAAGGUGGUUUGUUCUGUUCUCUUGAAUUCGUUUGUUUAUCUUGACUGAUUGAGAGAGAAAAAUGAGGGAUGCUAGGAUUUCAAGACAGUAAGUAGUUGAGUGUUGUCAUAUUGCCUAGUUUCUUUUUCUCCAAUGUGUAUUAAACGCCCAGAUUUGCUUUUCUUACCAGAGCUACUGUUUCUGCCCUAUUUUCUUUGAUUUACA